AAGCAUACUACAAUAUCUGGUGUGAAAUGGUUUUGCCAUGGAAUAUCCUUUUUUGGUGAAAUGAGUGGGCGACCUGAUCGUUUUCAUCCCAGCACCCUUGUCCACGAGCUGAUUUAAUGAGUGUAAACUUACAUCAGUACUACUCAAACAAUGGGGCAGCAGUGCUGAAUGUGUUAUUGGAACACGCACAAUACAAUAAGUGGAAAUCUUGGCGCCUACCAAGUGCAACUGGACUCAUUCUGAUACCAUAAUAUAAAUAUUGUUGCUUUCUCUGUCAAACCGAGCACUAUUGGUGCAUUAGCACCGUUCGGGUAUAAUUGAAUUUCCUAAAGCAGUGCUGAUUCCAGCGACAUGUUUGGAGAGAUAAGGAAUUAAACAAAUAUAGCCAGGCUCGAUAAACUUUGGAGCAGCUCACUGGCUCCUCUGAGAAAGACCUUUUCACUCUGAAAGAGCUUAUAAACUCCCCGAUAUCAGAUUUUGCAGUGGAAGUUGUCUUUGGCUGCGUUUGUUGGAGCGAAGCAGGAGAUAAUUGUCUAAUCUUUCGCUUUUCAUCUUUGAGGUAAAAAUGCUUAGCAGUUCUGAGGGAAGCAGACACGUUCAGACCCCAGGCCUCACAUCUAGCUGAUGCGCAACACAUGACCUAGCAUGAACGCAGUCCGCAGAUAAGACGAAUAAACGCAUUUGAGAUUAGAUUGGCUGUAAGGCAGUGUCUGAAUAGGCUCGGUCCCUGCAAUUCAGUUGGCCAAAUUCAGAAUGGCUCGUGGCUGUGUACUGUAGUACUCUUACACAUGUUACUAUACUUCAAUUCCAAUGCUCAGAUUUAGCAUGUUCCCAAACUAAAAAA
Long non-coding RNA from Sinocyclocheilus grahami, 844 nucleotides. RefSeq lists it as uncharacterized. The transcript is spliced from 2 exons. NCBI's taxonomy places the organism in Eukaryota, Metazoa, Chordata, Actinopteri, Cypriniformes, Cyprinidae. The record is from RefSeq and is a predicted model, not a curated record.